RNAcentral lists this small nuclear RNA (107 nucleotides) under Phocoena sinus (vaquita). The record is from RNAcentral. RNAcentral also lists the same sequence under 1 other name. Lineage: Eukaryota; Metazoa; Chordata; Mammalia; Artiodactyla; Phocoenidae.
UUGCUCGCUUCAGCAGCACAUAUACUAAAAUUGGAACGAUACAGAGAAGAUUAGCAUGGCCCCUGGGCAAGGAUGACACACAAAUUCGUGAAGCGUUCCAUAUUUAA